GGGGUUAUCGCUCAGGGGCAGAGUGGGUGCUUGGUGUGCAUGAGGUCCUGGGUUCAAACCCUAGUGCCUCCA
This 72-nucleotide transfer RNA is filed under the name Camelus bactrianus (Bactrian camel). It matches the Rfam family "tRNA". From Rfam's summary of the family: Transfer RNA (tRNA) molecules are approximately 80 nucleotides in length. Their secondary structure includes four short double-helical elements and three loops (D, anti-codon, and T loops). Lineage: Eukaryota; Metazoa; Chordata; Mammalia; Artiodactyla; Camelidae. The record is from Rfam by way of RNAcentral. RNAcentral also lists the same sequence under 2 other names.